GAGACGCUAGUCCAAUUAAGACAACC
RNAcentral lists this transfer RNA (26 nucleotides) under Limnonectes hascheanus (side-spotted frog). RNAcentral describes it as "partial tRNA-Arg". The record is from RNAcentral. Lineage: Eukaryota; Metazoa; Chordata; Amphibia; Anura; Dicroglossidae.